GGAUUGCCCUAGUAACGGCGAGUGAAGCGGCAACAGCUCAAAUUUGAAAGCUAGCCUUCGGGUUCGCAUUGUAAUUUGUAGAGGAUGAUUUGGGGAAGCCGCCUGUCUAAGUUCCUUGGAACAGGACGUCAUAGAGGGUGAGAAUCCCGUAUGUGACAGGAAAUGGCACCCUAUGUAAAUCUCCUUCGACGAGUCGAGUUGUUUGGGAAUGCAGCUCUAAAUGGGAGGUAAAUUUCUUCUAAAGCUAAAUAUUGGCGAGAGACCGAUAGCGCACAAGUAGAGUGAUCGAAAGAUGAAAAGCACUUUGGAAAGAGAGUUAAAAAGCACGUGAAAUUGUUGAAAGGGAAGCGCUUGCAAUCAGACUUGUUUAAACUGUUCGGCCGGUCUUCUGACCGGUUUACUCAGUUUGGACAGGCCAGCAUCAGUUUCGGCGGCCGGAUAAAGGCUCUGGGAAUGUGGCCUCCACUUCGGUGGAGGUGUUAUAGCCCAGGGUGUAAUACGGCCAGCCGGGACUGAGGUCCGCGCUUCGGCUAGGAUGCUG
Molecule: ribosomal RNA, 541 nt
Filed under: Aureobasidium proteae
Lineage: Eukaryota; Fungi; Ascomycota; Dothideomycetes; Dothideales; Saccotheciaceae
Description: eukaryotic LSU rRNA
Rfam family: Eukaryotic large subunit ribosomal RNA
Source: RNAcentral